GACGAACGCUGGCGGCGUGCUUAACACAUGCAAGUCGAACGGAAAGGCCCUGCUUUUGUGGGGUGCUCGAGUGGCGAACGGGUGAGUAACACGUGAGUAACCUGCCCUUGACUUUGGGAUAACUUCAGGAAACUGGGGCGAAUACCGGAUAGGAGCUCCUGCUGCAUGGGGGGGGUUGGAAAGUUUCGGCGGUUGGGGAUGGACUCGCGGCUGAUCAGCUUGUUGGUGGGGUAGUGGCUUACCAAGGCUUUGACGGGUAGCCGGCCUGAGAGGGUGACCGGCCACAUUGGGACUGAGAUACGGCCCAGACUCCUACGGGAGGCAGCAGUGGGGAAUAUUGCACAAUGGGCGGAAGCCUGAUGCAGCAACGCCGCGUGCGGGAUGACGGCCUUCGGGUUGUAAACCGCUUUCGCCUGUGACGAAGCGUGAGUGACGGUAAUGGGUAAAGAAGCACCGGCUAACUACGUG
This 468-nucleotide ribosomal RNA is filed under the name uncultured bacterium. RNAcentral describes it as "partial 16S ribosomal RNA". It matches the Rfam family "Bacterial small subunit ribosomal RNA", at positions 28 to 507 of the family's 1533-position model. The record is from RNAcentral.